GCUGGGCAUGGUGGUGCGUGCCUGUGAUCCCAGCUACUUGGGAGGCUGAGGCAGGAGAAUCACUUGAACCCAGGAGGUGGAGGGUGCAGUGAGGUGAGACUGCACAGUUGCACUCCAGCCUGGGCAACAGAGUGAGACUCUGUCUCAA
This 148-nucleotide small RNA is filed under the name Macaca fascicularis (crab-eating macaque). RNAcentral describes it as "Metazoan signal recognition particle RNA (ENSMFAG00000062062.1)". The record is from Rfam by way of RNAcentral. Lineage: Eukaryota; Metazoa; Chordata; Mammalia; Primates; Cercopithecidae.